UCGGGGCGCACCAGGCGCGAAAACUUUACAAUGCCGGCAACGGCGAUAAGGGAACCUCGAGUGCCAGGUUACAAAUCUGGCUGUCGUGAUGCCUAAAAAGCAUUGCAUAGCAAGGGCCGGGCAAGACCGGUGCCAGCCGCCGCGGUAACACCGGCGGCUCGAGUGGUAACCGUUAUUAUUGGGUCUAAAGGGUCUGUAGCCGGCCGGGUAAGUCUCUUGGGAAAUCUGGCAGCUUAACUGUCAGGCUUUCAGGAGAUACUGCCUGGCUCGAGGCCGGGAGAGGUGAGAGGUACUUCAGGGGUAGGGGUGAAAUCUUGUAAUCCUUGAAGGACCACCAGUGGCGAAGGCGUCUCACCAGAACGGACCUGACGGCAAGGGACGAAAGCUAGGGGCACGAACCGGAUUAGAUACCCGGGUAGUCCUAGCCGUAAACGAUACUCGCUAGGUGUCGGCCACGGUGCGACCGUGGUCGGUGCCGUAGGGAAGCCGUGAAGCGAGCCACCUGGGAAGUACGGCCGCAAGGCUGAAACUUAAAGGAAUUGGCGGGGGAGCAC
This 554-nucleotide ribosomal RNA is filed under the name uncultured archaeon. RNAcentral's name for it is "bacterial SSU rRNA". It matches the Rfam family "Archaeal small subunit ribosomal RNA", at positions 325 to 879 of the family's 1478-position model. The record is from RNAcentral.